This 3401-nucleotide long non-coding RNA is filed under the name Lynx pardinus (Iberian lynx). Lineage: Eukaryota; Metazoa; Chordata; Mammalia; Carnivora; Felidae. The record is from RNAcentral.
GGGAGAGGGAGAGAUGAAAAUGAAAUCCAAACCCCAAACACAGUUGCAGAAAAAGGGCUACAACCAAGUGGGAACUGGCACAUGAGUCAGAAGCGGCAAACCCUCACAGGCUUUGGAUAGUUUUUUAAGCACUCGAUUAUUUUGCUAAUUCACGUUUGUCCUUUAUUCUCAUUCCAACUUUUUCCUAUUUCAAAAGUCACUGCCAAAAUAUAAUUUCCCACACAGAGCUCAAAUGUAAAAGCCUUCUGACGAGAGCUAAUACCUUGAAGUAGGUAUCCUGGUUGAAGAAUCAAUUCCUAUGCUCAGAGGUAUAUCCAGACCAUCUGCAGACGGGGUCCUAGAGGGCGAGAAAGAAUACAAAGGAAACGUCAGUCAAGGAUUCUGAUACAGAUUUUGGUCUGAAGCAGUUUCUUAAAGUAGCAUAUUCUCUAUGUUUAUAAACAUAAAUGUCAAUAAUCUGUACUCCAAAAGGGAGAAACAGAAGAAAACAAUAUUCAGAACUGCUAACAAAUGACUCAAAAAGUAUCUUCAUUUCAUAAUCGGCCCCAUGAAACAAUGACAUAGGUAUGUCCCUGCUCACACUCUGAUAGUACUUUAAACGUCCCCGGGAAACUCACGGUGGACCAGAAAGAGCCACCAGUGCCUGUGAAACCCCAGCGCGUCUGGAGAGCGCUUGCUUCUGGGGAGCGGUUGGCAUGAAGGGGUGUGGUGGGGGAGCGUCGACUCACCUGCGUAGAUACUGAGUACUUAUCAAGCAGAAUAAAAUGCAAAGCUGUCAUUUGUCAUCUGCAUUAUGUCACUCAGUACCCAGGAGAGUUCUUUCUGCUGACAAAGACUUCAUAGUAAGUGACUGGGAGGGCAACCUUUCCCAGCCCCCGAGAAGCUCCUAACUGUCCUCCAUCAAUCACCAGGGGAAGGGGUGCUUCUUCCGGGCAAGGCUUGUCCCUCCGUCCAGCCCGUGUCCUUGGCACGCCAGCGCCUAAGGGGACAGAGCCCUCCUUGACUGUCAGCACCAGCCUCACUAUUAUCAAGACCUGUAACAGUGUCGCGAGCACGGAGGCUUUGCCGCGGCAGACCUAAACCCGCAAAGCUAAAUGAUUGAUUGGCCCUGGAGCUGGAGGUUAGAGGCUGCCCUUCCACAUUAAAAAUAAAUAAAUACAUAAAAUCUGGAGGGGGUGCUGCACAAGCUUUGCAAAUCUGCCCAAGAGGAGACUUCGGAAAGAGUUGGAAGAAAGCCCCUUUCACUUUAGAGUACCAACCUGCUGAAAGCAUUUCUCUUGGACUUCUGAUAGCAAAGGGCUCAUUAAAAUAAUAAUAAAAAAAACCCUACAACUCUUUCUUUCGGAUGUCACGAGGAAAUGUCUGUAUGGGAAUUGAGGCUGCCCUAAAAUUAAUUAGAUAGCAGCCCGCUUCAUCAGCCACUCUGUCCCCACACACCUGAGGGUCUGUAUUUUGAAUCGCAACAAUGAACUGGCAUCAGAUAAAUAAGCAUAACAAAUUAAGUGUGAGAGUUGCAUAGCAGAAGGAAAGGGACCCCAUCACUCAUUUCCAUGCCUUAAAUUCUGAAGGGUGACAUGGGGCAGUGGGAGAAGAAAGAAGAAAGACUGUGGACUGUUUACCCCCCACCACACACAUUAUUUUGUUUUACAAAAACACACACACCCCUAUUAUUUUAAACUUUAUGAGCUGUUUUGUAAACAGUUCUAAUGCUUUUCACUCUGCAGCCUGUAAUUACUCUGAGAGAGAGAGAGAGAGAGAGAGAGAGAGGAAGAGAGACACUAUAAGAAACAGAUUUUAUAAGGUUUGGUGGUGUUUCUUUCUCUUUCUUCUUUCUUUCUUUCUUUCUUUCUUUAACUCAGGGUUAUUUCAGUGAUUGCUGAACACUGAGAGCCUGCAAUUUUUCUGCACUGACUGGUUUCUGUGCAUUUGUUUCAAAUCAUGAGAAAAGUGAUACAAGCAUGAAAGGCAGGCGAAGGAAAGAAAGAAGUCAAACAAUGGCUGUCUCCAGCAGAGUAGCAGAGGCUAAACAGUUACAUACAGAAAUUUCUUCCGGGGUUGGUCUUUUAAGUAGCAAGAGUUUGCUCACCUCUCCAAGCCUGCAAGGGUGUGUGAAGAGAGAGUGAGCAAGGGUUUUUUGCAUCCGUUCUAGUGUGAACCAGCCUCUGCUGACAGUAGUGACCCGGAAAUUACACUCAGACUCACAGUGUCGGGCAAACAGUGGCGCUUGGAGUUUAAAGAAUCGGCCACACAUGAAACUGAAAAUUCUGCACAAUUAAGAUGCUGAUAACAUUCCCUGGAACCCAAUCAACAUUACUGGUUAUUCUUUUCUUUAUCUUAUUUACUUUGCCUCUUCCUUUAGGAAAAAGAAAAUUAGCCUUAAUGGUCCCUUGAAUAAACUGCAUUCAACUACACCGAAAAGCAUUUCCUAAUAAAGGAAAGGGACAGCCAAGUAGAUGCAUGUUUUUUCGCCUACAAAGUGACCUUCCUUAGAGUGUUAAAGGUGCAGAAGGAGCCUACAUUUUUUUUCUGCUGCCGUUUGUUAUUGAUUCAGGAGGUGCACAUGUAAACGCAGAGAAACUGAGUGGUACAGAACACAGGACUUUCAGGCAGGUCUGACCCGCAGCACAUCAUCUUUACACCAUCUCCCUUCACAAAAACACAAAGCACAGCACUCUGAAAAGCCUGCAAACAGACAAUUCCUUAUUCAAAAAUGACCUUUUAAAACCUGUCAUCUUCUCACUGCCUGGUUUCCAUCUCCAUAAGGAAAAGAAGUGAAGAAGAAGAAGAAGAAGAAGAAGAAGAAGAAGAAGAAGAACGGGGAGGGGGAGGAAGGGGAGGAGGAUGAGGGGGGAAGGAGGAGGAGGAGAAGAAGGAGGAGGAGGAGGAGGAGGCGGAGGGGGAAGAGGAGGAAGGAGGAAGGAGGAAGGAGGUAGGAGGAGAAGGAGAAGGAGAAGAAGAAGAAGGAGGAGGAGGAGGGGGAUGGGGAGGGGGAGGAAGGGGAGGAGGACGAGGGGGAAGGAGGAGGAGGAGGGAGGAAGGAGGUAGGAGGAGAAGGAGAAGAAGAAGAAGGAGGAGGAAGAGGGGGACAGGGAGGGGGAGGAAGGGGAGGAGGACGAGGGGGGAGGAGGAGGAGAAGAAGAAGGAGGAGGAGGAGGAGAAGGAGGAGGAGGAGGAGGAGAAGAAGGAAAAGAAGAAGAAAACUCUGAGAGACAAAUGCAGAGCUUGACAAAAGAGACAAGGAUGCAAUGUUUGAAUUGGAUACUUUGUAGCAGAUGACAAGUGUCCUUAGAGACUAACAGUUUGUCCUGAGAAAUAGCAGAAAGUGGGAGAAAUGGAAAGUGAGCUCAAGGAAUGGUGUUGUAUUCAUGAAUCAGGACUAGAAUACAAGUUGCCUUUUCUUC